CGCUCCCGGCAGCCCCCGCGCGGGGCGAGCCCGGGAGGUGGUGCCAGAGCACUGAUGACUGUGAAACUCAAGCUAAGCUGGGGUCUACUCACAACAGUUAAAAUACAAAACAGUGAUGCAAACUGCAUCGUGCAAGAGGAUGCGAGUUCGCAGCUAGGCCAUCUGAAAAGAAAUAAUGAGAAUGCUUUGAAGAUGCUGAGCUAAAGGAUAUAAGAAGAAGGAUGAAACAGCUAACAGCAUGUGCUUAAAGAAUGAAAGAUCCUUCUGACAAUGACUGCUGCUGCUCCCAGCUUUCUUCUAGGUGAGAGGAUCCACACCUAGAUAAGCUGCCAAGAAUCAGACCGUCUUCCUGUCACCUGUGAGAAAUUAUCAUCUUAUAGCUAAAUAUUGGACUUUGCUUUGGUUUGGACUCAUUUAACCCUGAAUACUUGUAGUAAAUAAAGCC
Alligator sinensis (Chinese alligator) is the source of this 445-nucleotide long non-coding RNA. RefSeq lists it as uncharacterized. The transcript is spliced from 3 exons. Lineage: Eukaryota; Metazoa; Chordata; Crocodylia; Alligatoridae. The record is from RefSeq and is a predicted model, not a curated record.